RNAcentral lists this ribosomal RNA (253 nucleotides) under uncultured bacterium. RNAcentral describes it as "partial 16S ribosomal RNA". It matches the Rfam family "Bacterial small subunit ribosomal RNA", at positions 524 to 776 of the family's 1533-position model. The record is from RNAcentral.
UACAGAGGUCUCAAGCGUUGUUCGGAUUCAUUGGGCGUAAAGGGUGCGUAGGCGGCGCGGUAAGUCGGGUGUGAAAUCUCGGAGCUUAACUCCGAAACUGCAUUCGAUACUGCCGUGCUUGAGGACUGGAGAGGAGACUGGAAUUUACGGUGUAGCGGUGAAAUGCGUAGAUAUCGUAAGGAACACCAGUGGCGAAGGCGGCCAACUGGUCCGGUACUGACGCUGAGGUGCGAAAGCGUGGGGAGCAAACAGG